UCCAAACCCUCCUGCUUAUUAGCAAAAGUCCUUCUUGGGAAAUACUGCAAAUCGUCUUCUUUCUUGGACUGUGAGGUUUCCUCUACGGCUUCCCAUGGGUGGAGAGGCAUUUGUAUUGGCCGGGAUCUACUGAAGUCUCAUCUGGGAAAGGCCAUUGGGUCGGGAAAGAACACGCUACUAUGGUAUGAACCAUGGAUCUCUUUGGUUAAACCAACCCAUCCCAUGGGACCCCCAACUGAACAAAGUCUCUCCUUGACUGUUGAUCAUCUUAUCUGCCCAAUUUCAAAGACCUGGAAUAGAGAGAAAAUAAGACUCUUGCUCCCAGCCUACGAAGAUGAGAUUUUAGCAAUUAAACCAAGCAAAACAGAUGCUGAGGAUCGACACAUCUGGCUUCUUACCAAGAAUGGAGCUUAUUCUGCAAAAUCGGGUUAUAUUGCAGCCACUAUUGAGGCAUCGCUUGGCCCUAGUCAACAAGACUCCUUUUCAGGUUUCAACUGGUUCAAAGAUCUCUGGAAUAUCAAAUGUCAACCAAAAAUCAAGUUUUUCUUAUGGAAACUUUUGAGAGACGCUUUACCUCUUGGCUCUAAUCUCAGCCUUAGAGGAUUUAACCUUGAUGCUCUUUGCCCUCAUUGCCAACAAGAAGAAUCUGGAC
Molecule: long non-coding RNA, 652 nt
Filed under: Arabidopsis lyrata
Lineage: Eukaryota; Viridiplantae; Streptophyta; Magnoliopsida; Brassicales; Brassicaceae
Description: long non-coding RNA (ALYR_LNC002198)
Source: RNAcentral